This 468-nucleotide ribosomal RNA is filed under the name uncultured bacterium. RNAcentral describes it as "partial 16S ribosomal RNA". It matches the Rfam family "Bacterial small subunit ribosomal RNA", at positions 28 to 507 of the family's 1533-position model. The record is from RNAcentral.
GAUGAACGCUGGCGGCGUGCUUAACACAUGCAAGUCGAACGGUGAAGGCGGAGAUUGCUCUGCUGGAUAAGUGGCGAACGGGUGAGUAACACGUGAGCAAUCUGCCCCUGACUCUGGGAUAAGCGCUGGAAACGGCGUCUAAUACUGGAUACGAGCUGCGCAGGCAUCUUCAGCAGCUGGAAAGAAUUUCGGUCAGGGAUGAGCUCGCGGCCUAUCAGCUUGUUGGUGAGGUAAUGGCUCACCAAGGCGUCGACGGGGAGCCGGCCUGAGGGGGUGACCGGCCACACUGGGACUGAGACACGGCCCAGACUCCAACGGGAGGCAGCAGUGGGGAAUAUUGCACAAUGGGCGAAAGCCUGAUGCAGCAACGCCGCGUGAGGGACGACGGCCUUCGGGUUGUAAACCACUUUUAGCAGGGAAGAAGCGAAAGUGACGGUACCUGCAGAAAAAGCGCCGGCUAACUACGUG